Molecule: ribosomal RNA, 253 nt
Filed under: uncultured bacterium
Lineage: Bacteria
Description: partial 16S ribosomal RNA
Rfam family: Bacterial small subunit ribosomal RNA
Source: RNAcentral
UACGUAGGGGGCUAGCGUUGUCCGGAUUUAUUGGGCGUAAAGAGCGUGUAGGCGGCCAGGUAGGUCUGCUGUGAAAACUCGAGGCUUAACCUCGAGAUGUCGGCGGAAACCAUCUGGCUAGAGUCCGGAAGAGGAGAGUGGAAUUCCUGGUGUAGCGGUGAAAUGCGCAGAUAUCAGGAAGAACACCUAUGGCGAAGGCAGCACUCUGGGACGGUACUGACGCUGAGACGCGAAAGCGUGGGGAGCGAACAGG